GGAAGGAUCAUUAUUGAAAUAAACCUGAUGGGUUGUUGCUGGUUCUCUAGGGAGCAUGUGCACACCUUGUCAUCUUUAUAUCUCCACCUGUGCACUUUUUGUAGACCUUUCAGGUCUAUGUUGCUUCAUUUACCCCAAUGUAUGUUAAUAGAAUGUUGUGCCUAUAUAAUAUAUACAACUUUCAGCAACGGAUCUCUUGGCUCUCGCAUCGAUGAAGAACGCAGCGAAAUGCGAUAAGUAAUGUGAAUUGCAGAAUUCAGUGAAUCAUCGAAUCUUUGAACGCACCUUGCGCUCCUUGGUAUUCCGAGGAGCAUGCCUGUUUGAGUGUCAUUAAUAUAUCAACCUUCUCUUUUUUGAGUUGUUUGGAUGUGGGGGUUUGCUGGCUUCUUAAAUGAUUCAGCUCCCCUGAAAUGCAUUAGCAGAACAACCUGUUCAUUGGCGUGAUAAUUAUCUAUGCUAUUGAAUGUGAGGGCAGUUCAGCUUUCUAACCGUCCUCGGACAAUUCAUCAUUAAUGUGACCUCAAAUCAGGUAGGACUACCCGCUGAACUUAAGCAUAUCAAUAAGCGGAGGAAAAGAAACUAACAAGGAUUCCCCUAGUAACUGCGAGUGAAGCGGGAAAAGCUCAAAUUUAAAAUCUGGCGGUCUUUUGGCUGUCCGAGUUGUAAUCUAGAGAAGUGUUAUCCGCGCUGGACCGUGUACAAGUCUCCUGGAAUGGAGCAUCAUAGAGGGUGAGAAUCCCGUCUUUGACAUGGACUGCCAGGGCUUUGUGAUGCGCUCUCAAAGAGUCGAGUUGUUUGGGAAUGCAGCUCAAAAUGGGUGGUAAAUUCCAUCUAAAGCUAAAUAUUGGCGAGAGACCGAUAGCG
Molecule: ribosomal RNA, 864 nt
Filed under: uncultured fungus
Lineage: Eukaryota; Fungi
Description: eukaryotic LSU rRNA
Rfam family: Eukaryotic large subunit ribosomal RNA (bases 516-864)
Source: RNAcentral